AUCCGUAACACCACCGCCUCCUCC
RNAcentral lists this non-coding RNA (24 nucleotides) under Arabidopsis thaliana (thale cress). Lineage: Eukaryota; Viridiplantae; Streptophyta; Magnoliopsida; Brassicales; Brassicaceae. The record is from RNAcentral.